AGUCAUAUGCUUGUCUCAAAGAUUAAGCCAUGCAUGUCUAAGUACAAGCCUCACUAAGGUGAAACCGCGAAUGGCUCAUUAAAUCACACCUAAUGUACUGGAUAGUCUCAGUUACUUGGAUAACUGCGGUAAUUCUGGAGCUAAUACAUGCGCAAAAACCGCGACUCACGGAGCGGUGCUUUUAUUAGAUCAAAACCAAACGGCCUCGAGCCGUCCCCCUGGUGAUUCUGAAUAACUUUGGGCUGAUCGCACGGUCGUGUACCGGCGACGUAUCCUUCCAAGGUGUGCCCUAUCAACUGUCGACUGUGGCAUAGACGCCCACAGUGGUUUUGACGGGUAACGGGGAAUUAGGGUUCGAUUCCGGAGAGGGAGCCUGAGAAACGGCUACCACUUCUACGGAAGGCAGCAGGCACGCAAAUUACCCACUGGUCGAAGACCGAGGUAGUGACGAAAAAUAACGAUACCGGACUCAUCCGAGGCCCGGUAAUCGGAAUGAGUACACUUUAAAUCCUUUAACGAGGAACAAU
RNAcentral lists this ribosomal RNA (527 nucleotides) under uncultured eukaryote. Its description in RNAcentral is "SSU rRNA". It matches the Rfam family "Eukaryotic small subunit ribosomal RNA", at positions 22 to 548 of the family's 1831-position model. The record is from RNAcentral.